This 73-nucleotide transfer RNA is filed under the name bacterium. Its description in RNAcentral is "tRNA-Thr". It matches the Rfam family "tRNA". Rfam says of the family: Transfer RNA (tRNA) molecules are approximately 80 nucleotides in length. The record is from RNAcentral. RNAcentral also lists the same sequence under 2 other names.
GCUGGCGUAGCUCAGUUGGUAGAGCAGCUGCCUUGUAAGCAGCAGGUCAACGGUUCGAGUCCGUUCGCCAGCU